This 484-nucleotide ribosomal RNA is filed under the name uncultured Glomus. Its description in RNAcentral is "SSU rRNA". It matches the Rfam family "Eukaryotic small subunit ribosomal RNA", at positions 569 to 1061 of the family's 1831-position model. The record is from RNAcentral. Lineage: Eukaryota; Fungi; Glomeromycota; Glomeromycetes; Glomerales; Glomeraceae.
AGCAGCCGCGGUAAUUCCAGCUCCAAUAGCGUAUAUUAAAGUUGUUGCAGUUAAAAAGCUCGUAGUUGAAUUUCGGGAUCAAUACGUCGGUCGUGCUUAGGUACGUACUGGCGUAAUUGAUUUCUCCCUUCUGACGAACCAUGAUGUCAUUAACUUGGUGUCAUGGGAAAUCAGGACUGUUACUUUGAAAAAAUUAGAGUGUUUAAAGCAGGCUCACGCUUGAAUACAUUAGCAUGGAAUAAUGAAAUAGGACGUUCGAUCCUAUUUUGUGGUUUUAGGAUCAACGUAAUGAUUAAUAGGGAUAGUUGGGGGCAUUAGUAUUCAAUUGUCAGAGGUGAAAUUCUUGGAUUUAUUGAAGACUAACUACUGCGAAAGCAUUUGCCAAGGAUGUUUUCAUUAAUCAAGAACGAAAGUUAGGGAUCGAAGACGAUCAGAUACCGUCGUAGUCUUAACCAUAAACUAUGCCGACUAGGGAUCGGAUGAU